UGACAUGGAUGGAAUUUUAUGAAUCCC
Molecule: small RNA, 27 nt
Filed under: Bombyx mori (domestic silkworm)
Lineage: Eukaryota; Metazoa; Arthropoda; Insecta; Lepidoptera; Bombycidae
Description: ovarian small RNA-31457
Source: RNAcentral